RNAcentral lists this ribosomal RNA (659 nucleotides) under Eiseniella tetraedra. RNAcentral describes it as "eukaryotic LSU rRNA". The stretch from base 255 to 659 matches the Rfam family "Eukaryotic large subunit ribosomal RNA", at positions 665 to 1034 of the family's 3401-position model. Lineage: Eukaryota; Metazoa; Annelida; Clitellata; Crassiclitellata; Lumbricidae. The record is from RNAcentral.
GAGAAACUCCCGGGCAAGGUGACCUUCGUCUCGGCGCAGGAGCAUACAGGCCCGGUGAGCGUCGGCCCGUCGGUGGACCGAGGAAGACCGUCGCGGAGCGGCGUCGACCGUUCGUCGUGUGUUGGCGUUCGACUCGGGGGGACUGGUUCCAGUGCCCUCGGACCGCGCCGGCGCAGCGGCGGGCGCGCACGGCGUCGCGCCUGGGGUCGGUGGCGAAACGGCCGGCAACCUGUCCGACCCGUCUUGAAACACGGACCAAGGAGUCUAACAUGUGCGCGAGUCGUUGGGCGCUACGAAACCCGAAGGCGCAAUGAAAGUGAAGGCCCGGUCUCCGGCCGGCCUGGGUGGGAUCCCGGCGGUCUCGGCCGUCGGGCGCACCACCGGCCCGUCUCGUUCGUUACGUCGAGGAGGCGGAGCAAGAGCGUACACGUUGGGACCCGAAAGAUGGUGAACUAUGCCCGAGUAGGACGAAGCCAGAGGAAACUCUGGUGGAGGUCCGCAGCGAUUCUGACGUGCAAAUCGAUCGUCAAACUUGGGUAUAGGGGCGAAAGACUAAUCGAACCAUCUAGUAGCUGGUUCCUGUCGAAGUUUCCCUCAGGAUAGCUGGCGCUCGUCGUGAGCAGUUUUAUCCGGUAAAGCGAAUGACUGGAGGCCUUGGG